RNAcentral lists this ribosomal RNA (403 nucleotides) under uncultured Eubacteriales bacterium. Its description in RNAcentral is "bacterial SSU rRNA". It matches the Rfam family "Bacterial small subunit ribosomal RNA", at positions 356 to 774 of the family's 1533-position model. Lineage: Bacteria; Bacillati; Bacillota; Clostridia; Eubacteriales. The record is from RNAcentral.
GGGGAAUAUUGCGCAAUGGGGGGAACCCUGACGCAGCAACGCCGCGUGAGUGAAGAAGGCCUUCGGGUCGUAAAACUCUGUCAUUAGGGAAGAAGACGUGACGGUACCUAAUGAGGAAGCCCCGGCUAACUACGUGCCAGCAGCCGCGGUAAUACGUAGGGGGCGAGCGUUGUCCGGAAUCACUGGGCGUAAAGGGUGCGUAGGCGGCCUGAUAAGUCAGAUGUGAAAUACCAGGGCUCAACCCUGGGGGUGCAUUUGAAACUGUUGGGCUUGAGUGCAGGAGAGGAAAGUGGAAUUCCUAGUGUAGCGGUGAAAUGCGUAGAGAUUAGGAGGAACACCAGUGGCGAAGGCGACUUUCUGGACUGUAACUGACGCUGAGGCACGAAAGCGUGGGUAGCGAACA